GUUUGUGGCCCCCAGGACGACCAAGCUGCUGGAGGACUCCAAGACUCUGGGCGACUGCGGCUUCACCAGCCAGACGGCGCGGCCGCAGGCGCCGGCCACCGUGGGGCUGGCCCUGCGCACCGGGGAGGAGUCCUUCGAGGGGCUGCGCAUCGAGCCCUUCUCGAGCCCCCCCCGAGCUGCCGGACGUGAUGAAGCCGCAGGACUCGACCGGGGCCGCCACCGACCCCCCCCUGCCCUGAGCCCCCCCCGGGCUCAGUUCGGGGGAUUUUGGGGCUCUCGGGGCUGGGGGGGAGGGGAGGGAGAAAAAAAAACCCCAAUAAAAAAUCCUGGGCAGCGA
Passer domesticus (house sparrow) is the source of this 337-nucleotide long non-coding RNA. RefSeq lists it as uncharacterized. NCBI's taxonomy places the organism in Eukaryota, Metazoa, Chordata, Aves, Passeriformes, Passeridae. The transcript has 2 exons. The record is from RefSeq and is a predicted model, not a curated record.